GCUCCAGUAGCUUAAUUGGUAAAGCGGUGGGUUUAUAACCCAUGAUCCCCAGAUUAGGGAACGAGUGCAGGUUCAAGUCCUGCCUGGAGCACCA
RNAcentral lists this transfer RNA (94 nucleotides) under Fidelibacterota bacterium. Its description in RNAcentral is "tRNA-Ile". It matches the Rfam family "tRNA". From Rfam's summary of the family: Transfer RNA (tRNA) molecules are approximately 80 nucleotides in length. Their secondary structure includes four short double-helical elements and three loops (D, anti-codon, and T loops). Further hydrogen bonds mediate the characteristic L-shaped molecular structure. tRNAs have two regions of fundamental functional importance: the anti-codon, which is responsible for specific mRNA codon recognition, and the 3' end, to which the tRNAs corresponding amino acid is attached (by aminoacyl-tRNA synthetases). tRNAs cope with the degeneracy of the genetic code in two manners: having more than one tRNA (with a specific anti-codon) for a particular amino acid; and 'wobble' base-pairing, i.e. permitting non-standard base-pairing at the 3rd anti-codon position. Lineage: Bacteria; Pseudomonadati; Fidelibacterota. The record is from RNAcentral.